AAGCGUGGGAGCAAACAGGAUUAGAUACCCUGGUAGUCCACGCCGUAAACGAUGUCGACUUGGAGGUUGUGCCCUUGAGGCGUGGCUUCCGGAGCUAACGCGUUAAGUCGACCGCCUGGGGAGUACGGCCGCAAGGUUAAAACUCAAAUGAAUUGACGGGGGCCCGCACAAGCGGUGGAGCAUGUGGUUUAAUUCGAUGCAACGCGAAGAACCUUACCUACUCUUGACAUCCAGAGAACUUAGCAGAGAUGCUUUGGUGCCUUCGGGAACUCUGAGACAGGUGCUGCAUGGCUGUCGUCAGCUCGUGUUGUGAAAUGUUGGGUUAAGUCCCGCAACGAGCGCAACCCUUAUCCUUUGUUGCCAGCGGUUAGGCCGGGAACUCAAAGGAGACUGCCAGUGAUAAACUGGAGGAAGGUGGGGAUGACGUCAGGUCAUCAUGGCCCUUACGAGUAGGGCUACACACGUGCUACAAUGGCAUAUACAAAGAGAAGCGACCUCGCGAGAGCAAGCGGACCUCAUAAAGUAUGUCGUAGUCCGGAUUGGAGUCUGCAACUCGACUCCAUGAAGUCGGAAUCGCUAGUAAUCGUGGAUCAGAAUGCCACGGUGAAUACGUUCCCGGGCCUUGUACACGCCGCCCGUCACACCAUGGGAGUGGGUUGCAAAGGAAGUAGGUAGCUUAACCUUCGGGAGGGCGCUUACCACUUUGUGAUUCAUGACUGGGGUGAAGUCGUA
This 732-nucleotide ribosomal RNA is filed under the name uncultured bacterium. Its description in RNAcentral is "bacterial SSU rRNA". It matches the Rfam family "Bacterial small subunit ribosomal RNA", at positions 757 to 1490 of the family's 1533-position model. The record is from RNAcentral.